RNAcentral lists this ribosomal RNA (998 nucleotides) under Helminthosporium juglandinum. RNAcentral's name for it is "SSU rRNA". It matches the Rfam family "Eukaryotic small subunit ribosomal RNA", at positions 76 to 1083 of the family's 1831-position model. Lineage: Eukaryota; Fungi; Ascomycota; Dothideomycetes; Pleosporales; Massarinaceae. The record is from RNAcentral.
AUACCGUGAAACUGCGAAUGGCUCAUUAAAUCAGUUAUCGUUUAUUUGAUAGUACCUUACUACUUGGAUACCUGUGGUAAUUCUAGAGCUAAUACAUGCUAAAAACCCCGACUUCGGAAGGGGUGUAUUUAUUAGAUAAAAAACCAAUGCCCUUCGGGGCUCCUUGGUGAUUCAUAAUAACUUCUCAGAUCGCAUGGCCUUGCGCCGGCGACGGUUCAUUCAAAUUUCUGCCCUAUCAACUUUCGAUGGUAAGGUAUUGGCUUACCAUGGUUUCUACGGGUAACGGGGAAUUAGGGUUCGAUUCCGGAGAGUUAGCCUGAGAAACGGCUAACACAUCCAAGGAAGGCAGCAGGCGCGCAAAUUACCCAAUCCUGAUACAGGGAGGUAGUGACAAUAAAUACUGAUACAGGGCUCUUUUGGGUCUUGUAAUUGGAAUGAGUACAAUUUAAACCUCUUAACGAGGAACAAUUGGAGGGCAAGUCUGGUGCCAGCAGCCGCGGUAAUUCCAGCUCCAAUAGCGUAUAUUAAAGUUGUUGCAGUUAAAAAGCUCGUAGUUGAACCUUUGGCCUGGCUGGCGGGUCCGCCUCACCGCGUGCACUUGUCCGGCCGGGCCUUUUCUUCUGGAGAACCGCAUGCCCUUCACUGGGUGUGUUGGGGACCAGGACUUUUACUUUGAAAAAAUUAGAGUGUUCAAAGCAGGCCUUUGCUCGAAUAUUACAGCAUGGAAUAAUAAAAUAGGACGUGCGGUUCUAUUUUGUUGGUUUCUAGGACCGCCGUAAUGAUUAAUAGGGACAGUCGGGGGCAUCAGUAUUCAAUUGUCAGAGGUGAAAUUCUUGGAUUUAUUGAAGACUAACUACUGCGAAAGCAUUUGCCAAGGAUGUUUUCAUUAAUCAGUGAACGAAAGUUAGGGGAUCGAAGACGAUCAGAUACCGUCGUAGUCUUAACCAUAAACUAUGCCGACUAGGGAUCGGGCGGUGUUAUUAUUUUGACUCGCUCGG